UAUGGAGGGCGUAAGCGUUGUUCGGGAUUACUGGGCGUAAAUCGCGUGUAGGCGGCUUGGCAAGUCGGCUGUGAAAGCCCGGGGCUCAACCCCGGAGGGUCAGCCGAAACUGACCCGCUCGAGUCCCGGAGAGGGAGGCGGAAUUUCCGGUGUAGAGGUGAAAUUCGUAGAUAUCGGAAGGAACACCAGUGGCGAAGGCGGCCACCUGGACGGUGACUGACGCUGAGACGCUAAAGCCUCGCGAGCAAACAGG
This 253-nucleotide ribosomal RNA is filed under the name uncultured bacterium. RNAcentral's name for it is "partial 16S ribosomal RNA". It matches the Rfam family "Bacterial small subunit ribosomal RNA", at positions 524 to 776 of the family's 1533-position model. The record is from RNAcentral.